GUCUCUGUGGCUCAGUUGGAAGAGCGUUGGUCUCAUAUCACAGCAAUAUGACUCUGGAGCAUCCAGGGACAUCCAAAGGUCGCAAGUUCGAGCCUUGCCAGGGACA
RNAcentral lists this transfer RNA (106 nucleotides) under Colletotrichum higginsianum. RNAcentral describes it as "tRNA CH063_16430". It matches the Rfam family "tRNA". From Rfam's summary of the family: Transfer RNA (tRNA) molecules are approximately 80 nucleotides in length. Their secondary structure includes four short double-helical elements and three loops (D, anti-codon, and T loops). The record is from Rfam by way of RNAcentral. Lineage: Eukaryota; Fungi; Ascomycota; Sordariomycetes; Glomerellales; Glomerellaceae. RNAcentral also lists the same sequence under 2 other names.